GAUGAACGCUGGCGGCGUGCUUAACACAUGCAAGUCGAACGGGAAAUCUUUCAUUGAGACUUCGGUGGAUUUGAUUUAUUUCUAGUGGCGGACGGGUGAGUAACGCGUGGGUAACCUGCCUUAUACAGGGGGAUAACAGUCAGAAAUGGCUGCUAAUACCGCAUAAGCGCACAGAGCUGCAUGGCUCAGUGUGAAAAACUCCGGUGGUAUAAGAUGGACCCGCGUUGGAUUAGCUAGUUGGUGGGGUAACGGCCCACCAAGGCGACGAUCCAUAGCCGGCCUGAGAGGGUGAACGGCAACAUUGGGACUGAGACACGGCCCAGACUCCUACGGGAGGCAGCAGUGGGGAAUAUUGCACAAUGGGGGAAACCCUGAUGCAGCGACGCCGCGUGAAGGAAGAAGUAUCUCGGUAUGUAAACUUCUAUCAGCAGGGAAGAUAGUGACGGUACCUGACUAAGAAGCCCCGGCUAACUACGUG
This 478-nucleotide ribosomal RNA is filed under the name uncultured bacterium. RNAcentral's name for it is "partial 16S ribosomal RNA". It matches the Rfam family "Bacterial small subunit ribosomal RNA", at positions 28 to 507 of the family's 1533-position model. The record is from RNAcentral.